This 377-nucleotide ribosomal RNA is filed under the name uncultured Atopobium sp. RNAcentral's name for it is "bacterial SSU rRNA". It matches the Rfam family "Bacterial small subunit ribosomal RNA", at positions 137 to 524 of the family's 1533-position model. Lineage: Bacteria; Bacillati; Actinomycetota; Coriobacteriia; Coriobacteriales; Atopobiaceae. The record is from RNAcentral.
ACUGGGAUAGCCUCGGGAAACCGAGGUUAAUACCGGAUACUCCAUAUUUGUCGCAUGGGCGAAUAUGGGAAAAGCUCCGGCGGCAAAGGAUGGGCCCCGCGGCCUGUUAGCUAGUUGUGGGGUAGUGGCUACCCAAGGCAAUGAUGGUAGCCGGGUUGAGAGACCGACCGGCCAGAUUGGGACUGAGACACGGCCCAGACUCCUACGGGAGGCAGCAGUGGGGAAUCUUGCACAAUGGGCGAAAGCCUGAUGCAGCGACGCCGCGUGCGGGAUGAAGGCCUUCGGGUUGUAAACCGCUUUCAGCAGGGACGAGGCCGCAAGGUGACGGUACCUGCAGAAGAAGCCCCGGCUAACUACGUGCCAGCAGCCGCGGUAAU